Molecule: ribosomal RNA, 580 nt
Filed under: uncultured bacterium
Lineage: Bacteria
Description: partial 16S ribosomal RNA
Rfam family: Bacterial small subunit ribosomal RNA
Source: RNAcentral
UGGGGAAUUUUGGACAAUGGGGGAAACCCUGAUCCAGCCAUCCCGCGUGUGCGAUGAAGGCCUUCGGGUUGUAAAGCACUUUUGGCAGGAAAGAAACGUCGCGGGUUAAUACCCCGCGAAACUGACGGUACCUGCAGAAUAAGCACCGGCUAACUGCGUGCCAGCAGCCGCGGUAAUACGUAGGGUGCAAGCGUUAAUCGGAAUUACUGGGCGUAAAGCGUGCGCAGGCGGUUCGGAAAGAAAGAUGUGAAAUCCCAGAGCUUAACUUUGGAACUGCAUUUUUAACUACCGGGCUAGAGUGUGUCAGAGGGAGGUGGAAUUCCGCGUGUAGCAGUGAAAUGCGUAGAUAUGCGGAGGAACACCGAUGGCGAAGGCAGCCUCCUGGGAUAACACUGACGCUCAUGCACGAAAGCGUGGGGAGCAAACAGGACUAGAUACCCUGGUAGUCCACGCCCUAAACGAUGUCAACUAGCUGUUGGGGCCUUCGGGCCUUGGUAGCGCAGCUAACGCGUGAAGUUGACCGCCUGGGGAGUACGGUCGCAAGAUUAAAACUCAAAUGAAUUGACGGGGGUCAUAGCUG